RNAcentral lists this transfer RNA (76 nucleotides) under Echinostoma caproni. It matches the Rfam family "tRNA". From Rfam's summary of the family: Transfer RNA (tRNA) molecules are approximately 80 nucleotides in length. Their secondary structure includes four short double-helical elements and three loops (D, anti-codon, and T loops). Lineage: Eukaryota; Metazoa; Platyhelminthes; Trematoda; Plagiorchiida; Echinostomatidae. The record is from Rfam by way of RNAcentral.
GGCCUUAUAGCUCCAACGUGCGCUGUACAAAAGCGUAAGCGGUAUCCAUGUGUGGGUUCGAAUCCCACUGAGGCUA